RNAcentral lists this ribosomal RNA (507 nucleotides) under uncultured bacterium. Its description in RNAcentral is "partial 16S ribosomal RNA". It matches the Rfam family "Bacterial small subunit ribosomal RNA", at positions 28 to 507 of the family's 1533-position model. The record is from RNAcentral.
GACGAACGCUGGCGGCGUGCCUAAUACAUGCAAGUCGAACGCAUUUUCUUUCACCGUAGCUUGCUACACCGAAAGAAAAUGAGUGGCGAACGGGGGAGUAACACGUGGGUAACCUGCCCAUCAGCGGGGGAUAACACUUGGAAACAGGUGCUAAUACCGCAUAAUUCCAUUUACCGCAUGGUAGAUGGAUGAAAGGCGCUUUUGCGUCACUGAUGGAUGGACCCGCGGUGCAUUAGCUAGUUGGUGGGGUAACGGCCUACCAAGGCUGCGAUGCAUAGCCGACCUGAGAGGGUGAUCGGCCACACUGGGACUGAGACACGGCCCAGACUCCUACGGGAGGCAGCAGUAGGGAAUCUUCGGCAAUGGACACAAGUCUGACCGAGCAACGCCGCGUGAGUGAAGAAGGUUUUCGGGUCGUAAAACUCUGUUGUUAGAGAAGAACAAGGAUGAGAGUGGAAAGUUCAUCCCUUGACGGUAUCUAACCAGAAAGCCACGGCUAACUACGUG